AGUGAACGCUGGCGGUAGGCCUAACACAUGCAAGUCGAACGACAGCACAGUAAGAGCUUGCUCUUACGGGUGGCGAGUGGCGGACGGGUGAGGCAUACAUCGGAAUCUACUUUUUCGUGGGGGAUUACGUAGGGCCGCUUACGAUAAUAGCUCAUACGUCCUACGGGAUAGAUCAGGAGAUCUUCGCACCUUUCCUGUCUCUAUGAGCCGAUGUCGGAUUAGCUAGUUGGCGGGGUAAAGGCCCACCAAGGCGACGAUGCGUAGCUGGUCUGAGAGGAUGAUCAGCCACACUGGAACUGAGACACGGUCCAGACUCCUACGGGAGGCAGCAGUGGGGAAUAUUGCGCAAUGGGCGAAAGCCUGAUCGAGCCAUGCCGCGUGGGUGAAGAAGGCCUUCGGGUUGUAAAGCCCUUUUGUUGGGAAAGAAAAGCAGCAGGUUAAUACCCCGAUGUUCUGACGGUACCCAAAGAAUAAGCACCGGCUAACUUCGUG
This 492-nucleotide ribosomal RNA is filed under the name uncultured bacterium. Its description in RNAcentral is "partial 16S ribosomal RNA". It matches the Rfam family "Bacterial small subunit ribosomal RNA", at positions 29 to 507 of the family's 1533-position model. The record is from RNAcentral.